UUCCUUAAUCAACAACAAGAAUACUGCAAAUCAAGAAUUCAGCAACAAGAAUACAACUCAACAACCACCAUUCAACCAAAAUACUGCAAAUCAAGAAUUAAGCAACAAUUCACAUGUUUCUACACUCUAAUUCUGCAAAUCAAGAAUACAACUCAACAGCAACUCUAACGAAAACAGAAACUUUCAGCAACAAAAUCAAGAAAAUUCAGAUCUGCAAAUCAAGAACUGAGAGAGAGAGGGGGCGGGGGCACCGUGGCGUUGAACGAAGGAGUCAGCGGCGGCGCUCGUCGUUGAGAGAAGGGGGAGGUGGAGCUUUGAUUUUCGCCUCUUCCUCCGCACCGGGCACCGCCGCUUUGUCUUCUUCUGCGACCACCAGCUCCAGUAACGAAGGUCUCCGACACGUCUACAACUCAGGGGCUCGAGGGGUGAAGAUACGACGGUACGACGGGCUGGGGCGGAGAUUAAAACCCUAGGUUGAUUUUGAUUUUGAUUUUAGAUCUAGGGGAAGAGGUUGAGAAGAAAGGAGGGAGAAGAAGAUACGCCGGCCUCGCCACGCCGAAGGCGGCGAGUGCCGGCGACAUUCGCAGGAGAGAAACAGAGAGUGAGAGAUGCAGAGAGAGGGAAUGAAAGAAGGGAGAGAGCAGAGACCGUGUAAAGAAGAAAAGAAAAGUGGAGAGAGAAAAUGUUUUUUGAGAAUGAGUCUUUAGGAUUUUAAUUAGGGUGUAUAUCAUCUUUAAUUAAGUAGCUAAUUAUUUUAAUUACAACCCUAAUUAUUUCCAUUUUAAGACUGAGUCUAUUGGGCUGGGACGUCCCGAAAAGGAAA
This 823-nucleotide long non-coding RNA is filed under the name Salvia miltiorrhiza (redroot sage). RNAcentral describes it as "long non-coding RNA (SMIL_LNC001464)". Lineage: Eukaryota; Viridiplantae; Streptophyta; Magnoliopsida; Lamiales; Lamiaceae. The record is from RNAcentral.